UACAGAGGUGGCAAGCGUUGUUCGGAAUUACUGGGCGUAAAGGGCGCGUAGGCGGUCCGAUAAGUCUUGCGUGAAAUCCCCCGGCUCAACUGGGGAACUGCGCGGGAAACUGCCGGGCUUGAGUUCGGGAGAGGGAAGCGGAAUUCCGGGUGUAGCGGUGAAAUGCGUAGAUAUCCGGAGGAACACCGGUGGCGAAGGCGGCUUCCUGGACCGACACUGACGCUGAGGCGCGAAAGCCAGGGGAGCAAACGGG
This 253-nucleotide ribosomal RNA is filed under the name uncultured bacterium. Its description in RNAcentral is "partial 16S ribosomal RNA". It matches the Rfam family "Bacterial small subunit ribosomal RNA", at positions 524 to 776 of the family's 1533-position model. The record is from RNAcentral.